UACGUAGGGUGCAAGCGUUAAUCGGAAUUACUGGGCGUAAAGCGUGCGCAGGCGGUUUUGUAAGUCUGUCGUGAAAAUCCCCCGGGCUCAACCUGGGAAUUGCGAUGGAGACUGCAAGGCUGGAGUCUGGCAGAGGGGGGGUAGAAUUCCACGUGUAGCAGUGAAAUGCGUAGAGAUGUGGAGGAACACCGAUGGCGAAGGCAGCCCCCCUGGGUCAAGACUGACGCUCAUGCACGAAAGCGUGGGGAGCAAACAGG
RNAcentral lists this ribosomal RNA (257 nucleotides) under uncultured bacterium. RNAcentral describes it as "partial 16S ribosomal RNA". It matches the Rfam family "Bacterial small subunit ribosomal RNA", at positions 524 to 776 of the family's 1533-position model. The record is from RNAcentral.